CACCUAGGCACUACCCUAGGCUGCCUACGUACCCUUACUGAUGGAUCAAGACACACAUAGUUCUUUCCACUAAAUUUCAAUUUCAACCACAUACAAUACCUUUAUUCAUUUUCCUGUUAUUCACAUAAUCUCCCCAUACGCCGGAAAAUCCAACUCCACGUAUGGGGCUUGUCUCACACGUUGGAAGAAUCCCACGACAUGUGUGAGACCUAACAAUCAC
RNAcentral lists this long non-coding RNA (220 nucleotides) under Prunus persica (peach). RNAcentral's name for it is "long non-coding RNA (PPER_LNC005109)". The record is from RNAcentral. Lineage: Eukaryota; Viridiplantae; Streptophyta; Magnoliopsida; Rosales; Rosaceae.